GCAUCAGUGGUGUAGCGGUAACAUGCGGCCUUCCCAUGACCGCGCUCGGGGUUCGACUCCCCGCUGAUGCA
RNAcentral lists this transfer RNA (71 nucleotides) under Flammulina velutipes KACC42780. RNAcentral describes it as "tRNA-Gly (CCC) (tRNA-Gly-CCC-1 1 to 4)". It matches the Rfam family "tRNA". Rfam says of the family: Transfer RNA (tRNA) molecules are approximately 80 nucleotides in length. Their secondary structure includes four short double-helical elements and three loops (D, anti-codon, and T loops). Further hydrogen bonds mediate the characteristic L-shaped molecular structure. tRNAs have two regions of fundamental functional importance: the anti-codon, which is responsible for specific mRNA codon recognition, and the 3' end, to which the tRNAs corresponding amino acid is attached (by aminoacyl-tRNA synthetases). tRNAs cope with the degeneracy of the genetic code in two manners: having more than one tRNA (with a specific anti-codon) for a particular amino acid; and 'wobble' base-pairing, i.e. permitting non-standard base-pairing at the 3rd anti-codon position. The record is from RNAcentral. Lineage: Eukaryota; Fungi; Basidiomycota; Agaricomycetes; Agaricales; Physalacriaceae.